GCAUGGACCGCUCGUGGUAGAAAUUUGAAGUAGAUCGUUUGCAGCAAAAACUCGGAGUGGGUCGCUUGCAGUAGAAGCUUGGAGUCCGACCCUUGUAGGAGUUCGGGGUGAGAUCUACCUGCGACAGAAAUUUAGGGUGGAAGUCCGACUUUCGUGGGAGCCCGGACGAAGUCUACCUGCAGUUGGAAUCGGGGAUGAAGUCCGACUCCCAUAGGAGUCCGGACGAAGUCUUCCUGCAGCUGGAGUCAGGGAUGAAGUCCGGCUCCCGUAGGAGCCCGGACGAAGUCUACCUGCAAUCGAAGUCGGGGAUGAAGUCCGGCUCCCGUAGGAGUCUAGAUGAAGUCUACCUG
RNAcentral lists this long non-coding RNA (350 nucleotides) under Elaeis guineensis (African oil palm). RNAcentral describes it as "long non-coding RNA (EGUI_LNC039371)". The record is from RNAcentral. Lineage: Eukaryota; Viridiplantae; Streptophyta; Magnoliopsida; Arecales; Arecaceae.